Molecule: transfer RNA, 72 nt
Filed under: Streptomyces afghaniensis
Lineage: Bacteria; Bacillati; Actinomycetota; Actinomycetes; Kitasatosporales; Streptomycetaceae
Description: tRNA-Ala
Rfam family: tRNA
About the family: Transfer RNA (tRNA) molecules are approximately 80 nucleotides in length.
Source: RNAcentral
GGGUUGUGUGGUGUAACUGGUAACACGUCUCCCUUGCAAGGAGAAGUCGCGGUUCAAAUCCGACACGAUCCA